CAGCGGGAGCAUGCGCAGUGCGUCCCUGAGGCGGCCAAUGGUUUGUCAGGCGCACGCGCAAGCCGCCAUUUUCCUCGAGCCGCCGGCGAUCGGACGGAACGUCGGCUCCCAACGGUCGCGGAGAGGAGCUCGGGGAUGUUACAAAAGGAUUUGCAAGCAGGAAUCUGAAAUCAAACGUCACGUGACGGAUUCAACUGUUCAUCAGAACUGUAUUAGAAGCUUUUUGCUCUAACUAUCCAUUUCCAGAGCCUCAACAUCUGUCGUCAUCCCAUGUGCCCUACUCCUGGCAGUCUUGGCCUUCACACUAAGAGGGACAUGCUGAUCCUGAACUCUUGUUUUCUUGCUUUUGAAAGCCUCUCACUUACCGGACCUUUACCAAUAAACAACUUUUGAGCGUUCCUGUCGAGCACCAUCAAAGUUGGCCGAGCUUCAAUUUCGAACUUGUGGGCCAAGCCUAUCUCUUCCAAAGCAAUUUUAUAACUAAUAGAAUUGUGGUCACUGGUCCAAAAGUGCUAGGCUAACACCGGAGUCACUCGGCCUGAAUUAUUUCCCAGGAGGAGGUCAAGUUAUUGCCCCAUCUCUUGUCAGGCGCUGAGGGCAUCUUGUGGGUGUUUAUGCUCCCAUGUGUCUGCUGCUUUUGACCUUCAAGAUGGAAGUAGCUGUGAAUUUGUAGCUGAUGUCUUUGAAGACCUGAGGCUGAAGUCUGUCAGGACCGAGAGAUGGGUUUCAGAGGUGCUGUCCAAGAAGCCUAGGUGAAUUUCUGCAGUGUUUAUUUCUGGAUGCAACACACUUGCUACAGAGUGCUGGUGGUGGAGUAAGGAGAUGUUUGUGGAUGUGAUGCCAGUCAAGCGUGCUGCUUUGUCCUGCAUAAUGUCAAGCUUAUUGAGGGUUGCUGACGCUCCACUCUUCCAGGCAAGUGGGGAGUACUCCAUUACACCUCUGGCUUGUGCCUUGAAGAUAUGGACAGACUUCAGGGAGUCACUGACCUUCUCACUGUCGGAUUUCUAGCCUCUGACCUGCUCCUCGACCCACUUAUUUAUACGGCUUGUUCCAUUUCUGGUCAAAGUUAACUGCCAGCAAGUUGAGAGUGGGAAUUCAGUGCUAGUGUUGAAUGUCAAGAGAUGAUGUUUAGACUCCAUACUGUGAAGCAAAUCUUGCUGUUAUAAGUAUUUCCAAGGCUUUGCUGCUGGUGUGGCUCCUUUACUGUCGAUCUCGCCCAUGUCCAUCCAUUGCUGUGCUUCAGUUAUAGAGUCACAGAGACGUACAGCACGGAAACAGACCCGUCAGUCCAAGUCGUCCAUGCUGACCAA
Chiloscyllium plagiosum (whitespotted bambooshark) is the source of this 1310-nucleotide non-coding RNA. The record is from RefSeq and is a predicted model, not a curated record. Lineage: Eukaryota; Metazoa; Chordata; Chondrichthyes; Orectolobiformes; Hemiscylliidae.